AGAGUUUGAUCAUGGCUCAGAACGAACGUUGGCGGCGUGGAUUAGGCAUGCAAGUCGAACGAAUCCCACUGCUGUAGCAAUACAGUGGUGGGGGAAGUGGCGAAAGGGGCAGUAAGGCGUGGGUAACCUACCCCGGGGACGUGGAUAGCCAUUCUAACGAGUGGGUAAUACGCGGCGAUUCGGCGGGGCGGCAUCGUCUUGCCGGGAAAUGAAUUUCGCCUCGGGAGGGGCUCACGUGAUAUUAGCUUGUUGGCGGGGUAACGGCCCACCAAGGCAAAGAUGUCUAGCGGGUGUGAGAGCACGACCCGCGCCACUGGCACUGAGACACUGGCCAGACACCUACGGGUGGCUGCAGUCGAGGAUCUUUGGCAAUGGGCGCAAGCCUGACCAAGCGACGCCGCGUGUGCGAUGAAGGCCUUCGGGUUGUAAAGCACUGUCGAGGGGGAUAAAGCCAGCAAUGGUUGAUUGAUCCCUGGAGGAAGCACGGGCUAAGUUCGUGCCAGCAGCCGCGGUAAGACGAACCGUGCGAACGUUGUUCGGAAUCACUGGGCUUAAAGGGCGCGUAGGCGGCAGAUCAAGUCCGGGGUGAAAUCCUCCAGCUUAACUGGAGAAGUGCCUUGGAUACUGAUUUGCUCGAGGGAGGUAGGGGUCGAGGGAACUUCUGGUGGAGCGGUGAAAUGCGUUGAUAUCAGAAGGAACGCCGGUGCGAAAGCGCUCGACUGGAUCUCUUCUGNNGCUGAGGCGCGAAAGCUAGGGGAGCAAACGGGAUUAGAUACCCUCGUAGUCC
Molecule: ribosomal RNA, 787 nt
Filed under: uncultured bacterium
Lineage: Bacteria
Description: bacterial SSU rRNA
Rfam family: Bacterial small subunit ribosomal RNA
Source: RNAcentral